GCGCAUCUGUGCAUGCAGCAUAUCAAUAAGCGGAGGAAAAGAAACUAACAAGGAUUCCCUUAGUAACGGCGAGUGAAGCGGGAAGAGCUCAAAUUUGAAAUCUUCAAGGUUUUACCUUGACGGAAUUGUAGUUUAAAGAAGUGUUUUCUGUUGAAGUUUUGGUAAAAGUUCUUUGGAAUAGGACAUCAUAGAGGGUGAGAAUCCCGUAUUUGACCAUUAUUUUCAGCUGUGUGAUACACUUUCAAAGAGUCGGAUUGUUUGGGAAUGCAGUCCAAAAUGGGUGGUAAAUUUCAUCUAAAGCUAAAUAUUGGCGAGAGACCGAUAGCGAACAAGUACCGUGAGGGAAAGAUGAAAAGAACUUUGAAAAGAGAGUUAAACAGUACGUGAAAUUGUCAAAAGGGAAGCGUUUGACACCAGUGUUGUUUUCUCGAAAAUCAAUUAAAAAGAGUUUGAUUUUGUUGUGUAUUGACCUUAACAGCUUGCAUUUCAAUUUUCUUGCUUUUUUUAAUGCACUUUUCGUUUAACAAGUCAACAUCAGUUUCUUUUGUUGUAAAAAGGUCAUUGGAAGGUGGCUUUCUUUUCGGAGAAAGUGUUUAUAGCCUUUGACUCCUGCAAUCGGAGAGACUGAGGUCUGCAGCGUAGAUCCUUCGGGGUUAGAUACAUUUGUGCUAAGUUAUAGCUUUUUAUAGACAACUUGUUGACUAUGAUUAGUCUUGUAGCUUACUCGCCUAUGCUAUUUUACCUACGCUUAGGAUGUUGACACACGCGCGUGCUCG
RNAcentral lists this ribosomal RNA (776 nucleotides) under uncultured Neocallimastigales. Its description in RNAcentral is "partial large subunit ribosomal RNA". It matches the Rfam family "Eukaryotic large subunit ribosomal RNA", at positions 24 to 621 of the family's 3401-position model. Lineage: Eukaryota; Fungi; Neocallimastigomycota; Neocallimastigomycetes; Neocallimastigales. The record is from RNAcentral.